ACGAACGCUGGCGGCGUGCCUAAUACAUGCAAGUAGAACGCUGAAGGAGGAGCUUGCUUCUCUGGAUGAGUUGCGAACGGGUGAGUAACGCGUAGGUAACCUGCCUGGUAGCGGGGGAUAACUAUUGGAAACGAUAGCUAAUACCGCAUAAUAGCAGUUAUUGCAUGAUAACUGUUUGAAAGGUGCAAUUGCACCACUACCAGAUGGACCUGCGUUGUAUUAGCUAGUUGGUGGGGUAACGGCUCACCAAGGCGACGAUACAUAGCCGACCUGAGAGGGUGAUCGGCCACACUGGGACUGAGACACGGCCCAGACUCCUACGGGAGGCAGCAGUAGGGAAUCUUCGGCAAUGGACGGAAGUCUGACCGAGCAACGCCGCGUGAGUGAAGAAGGUUUUCGGAUCGUAAAGCUCGGUUGUAAGAGAAGAACGAGUGUGAGAGUGGAAAGUUCACACUGUGACGGUAUCUGACCAGAAAGGGACGGCUAACUACGUG
Molecule: ribosomal RNA, 494 nt
Filed under: uncultured bacterium
Lineage: Bacteria
Description: partial 16S ribosomal RNA
Rfam family: Bacterial small subunit ribosomal RNA
Source: RNAcentral